Anas platyrhynchos (mallard) is the source of this 947-nucleotide non-coding RNA. NCBI's taxonomy places the organism in Eukaryota, Metazoa, Chordata, Aves, Anseriformes, Anatidae. The record is from RefSeq and is a predicted model, not a curated record.
UCUGUGAGAGAGAAAUGGUUUUGGUAAAGCCUUUUAAAUGCCACAUUCCCUCCAAGCCCUGGUUUUGAUUUAACAGCUAAGUACUACUGGCCUCCAAAAAAUGAAGUGCUUCGCUUUUAAAAAUAGCAUAAAGAAUUUUAGUUCUGGGCUGCCCCAUUUCGAGAUCUUAUUGAAAUAGCAAAGCAUAUGAGUUUCAUUUUCCAAGAAAAAGAAUUCAGCUAUUUCAGGAGUAUUCUAAUUUCUGUUAUGUACCUAAAUUUAUCUUCCUUGUAUUCUAGGAAAUUCAGGACAGAAUUCGAAUUAUAGAGCUCUACGCUAAAGACCGUCAGUUUGCAGAGUUCGUUAGGCAGCAUCAAAUGAAGCUGCUUUAAGAAAAAAAAAAAAAAGGAAUCAGUAGAAAGCAUGUGGGAGAUAAAGACUACCUUGUUGCCAUAGCAAUGGGCUCAGAUGUAACUGCAAAGUUACUUAUAGUCUUAACAUUGCAUGGAUGGAUACAGAUGUUUUCUAAAUGACUGGCUGAAAUGUACAGAUGUCUGUUUAUCUCAAUUACCUCCGGCUUUUCUGCGUAAAGUGACAUUUUAAAGAGGUGAUCCGAAGUGGCAGAGGUUAUGAAAGUUCAUUUUCUUUAACUCUGAAAUGGACAAUGUGAGUUUGUAUACCAAUGCAAAACAAACAAACAAAAACAAAACAAAACAAAAAAAACAACAAACAUACAAAAAAAAAGAGAAGAUACAUGCACAAACUAAAAAUAAAAUGCACCCUUACAAUUCCUGUCUGGCAUUUAUCCCCUUCACUGGAGCCUACUGUAGCAAUGGUACAGGUAUAAAGCAGUAGUGGGAAGAGCUCUUUAGUUUGCACAUGAAUGGUUUGUAGGAGAGAACCGUGAUGAUAAAAUGGUGUCAGCAUUAUUGUAAAGCAUUCCUGUUAUAAAUACAACCCUAACCUCA